CUCCACCACCCCCACCCCCACCUCCAAACCCUCCUCCACCACCAGCACCCCCUCCAAGUCCACCACCAGCACCCCCACCAAAUCCUGCUCCACCGCCAGCGCCACCACCUAACCCACCGCCACCUCCACCUCCAAACCCACCACCACCUCCACCACCAAUACCGCCACCAAGCCUAGGGCGGCGGUGAAAUGAGUUCUUCUCAUCCUGAAAAGAACUACCCUUCUUGUCCACAAUCUUUCUGGCACGACUAGCAGUGCAAACAAGAGCACCAAGAAGCAAUACAAGAAUCAAUUUCGAAGACAUCUUUUGCUGCAGCUAACCAAGAUUCGAUGUAGCUAAG
This 341-nucleotide unclassified non-coding RNA is filed under the name Hevea brasiliensis (rubber tree). The record is from RNAcentral. Lineage: Eukaryota; Viridiplantae; Streptophyta; Magnoliopsida; Malpighiales; Euphorbiaceae.